UGGGGAAUAUUGGACAAUGGGCGAAAGCCUGAUCCAGCCAUGCCGCGUGUGUGAAGAAGGUCUUCGGAUUGUAAAGCACUUUAAGUUGGGAGGAAGGGCAGUAAGCGAAUACCUUGCUGUUUUGACGUUACCGACAGAAUAAGCACCGGCUAACUCUGUGCCAGCAGCCGCGGUAAUACAGAGGGUGCAAGCGUUAAUCGGAAUUACUGGGCGUAAAGCGCGCGUAGGUGGUUCGUUAAGUUGAAUGUGAAAGCCCCGGGCUCAACCUGGGAACUGCAUCCAAAACUGGCGAGCUAGGGUAGGGCAGAGGGUGGUGGAAUGUCAUGUGUAGCGGUGAAGUGCGUAGAUAUAGGAAGGAACACAAGUGGCGAAGGCGACCACCUGGGCUCAUACUGACACUGAGGUGCGAAAGCGUGGGGAGCAAACAGG
This 429-nucleotide ribosomal RNA is filed under the name Pseudomonadota bacterium. RNAcentral describes it as "Proteobacteria bacterium partial 16S ribosomal RNA". It matches the Rfam family "Bacterial small subunit ribosomal RNA", at positions 355 to 776 of the family's 1533-position model. Lineage: Bacteria; Pseudomonadati; Pseudomonadota. The record is from RNAcentral.